GGCCACCUUCGGGGGGCUUUAACAUAGGCGGGGGCCUGUUCCCUGCCGUCUGCUAACGGAAGACAGAAA
Regulatory RNA element from Puniceibacterium sp. IMCC21224, 69 nucleotides. It matches the Rfam family "L2-Alphaproteobacteria ribosomal protein leader". NCBI's taxonomy places the organism in Bacteria, Pseudomonadati, Pseudomonadota, Alphaproteobacteria, Rhodobacterales, Paracoccaceae. The record is from Rfam.